RNAcentral lists this ribosomal RNA (242 nucleotides) under uncultured bacterium. RNAcentral's name for it is "partial 16S ribosomal RNA". It matches the Rfam family "Bacterial small subunit ribosomal RNA", at positions 535 to 776 of the family's 1533-position model. The record is from RNAcentral.
CAAGCGUUGUCCGGAAUUAUUGGGCGUAAAGCGCGCGCAGGCGGUCCUUUAAGUCUGAUGUGAAAGCCCACGGCUCAACCGUGGAGGGUCAUUGGAAACUGGGGGACUUGAGUACAGAAGAGAAGAGUGGAAUUCCACGUGUAGCGGUGAAAUGCGUAGAGAUGUGGAGGAACACCAGUGGCGAAGGCGACUCUUUGGUCUGUAACUGACGCUGAGGCGCGAAAGCGUGGGGAGCAAACAGG